GACGAACGCUGGCGGCAUGCCUAAUACAUGCAAGUAGAACGCACAGUUUAUACCGUAGCUUGCUACACCAUAGACUGUGAGUUGCGAACGGGUGAGUAACGCGUAGGUAACCUGCCUGGUAGCGGGGGAUAACUAUUGGAAACGAUAGCUAAUACCGCAUAAUAUUGAUUAUUGCAUGAUAAUUGAUUGAAAGAUGCUAUUGCAUCACUACCAGAUGGACCUGCGUUGUAUUAGCUAGUAGGUGAGGUAACGGCUCACCUAGGCGACGAUACAUAGCCGACCUGAGAGGGUGAUCGGCCACACUGGGACUGAGACACGGCCCAGACUCCUACGGGAGGCAGCAGUAGGGAAUCUUCGGCAAGGGACGAAAGUCUGACCGAGCAACGCCGCGUGAGUGAAGAAGGUUUUCGGAUCGUAAAGCUCUGUUGUAAGAGAAGAACGGGUGUGAGAGUGGAAAGUUCACACUGUGACGGUAGCUUACCAGAAAGGGACGGCUAACUACGUG
This 505-nucleotide ribosomal RNA is filed under the name uncultured bacterium. RNAcentral describes it as "partial 16S ribosomal RNA". It matches the Rfam family "Bacterial small subunit ribosomal RNA", at positions 28 to 507 of the family's 1533-position model. The record is from RNAcentral.